UACGGGAGGCAGCAGUGGGGAAUCUUCCGCAAUGGACGAAAGUCUGACGGAGCAACGCCGCGUGAGUGAUGACGGCCUUCGGGUUGUAAAGCUCUGUUAAUCGGGACGAAAGGCCUUCUUGCGAAUAGUGAGAAGGAUUGACGGUACCGGAAUAGAAAGCCACGGCUAACUACGUGCCAGCAGCCGCGGUAAUACGUAGGUGGCAAGCGUUGUCCGGAAUUAUUGGGCGUAAAGCGCGCGCAGGCGGAUCAGUCAGUCUGUCUUAAAAGUUCGGGGCUUAACCCCGUGAUGGGAUGGAAACUGCUGAUCUAGAGUAUCGGAGAGGAAAGUGGAAUUCCUAGUGUAGCGGUGAAAUGCGUAGAUAUUAGGAAGAACACCAGUGGCGAAGGCGACUUUCUGGACGAAAACUGACGCUGAGGCGCGAAAGCCAGGGGAGCGAACGGGAUUAGAUACCCCGGUAGUCCUGGCCGUAAACGAUGGGUACUAGGUGUAGGAGGUAUCGACCCCUUCUGUGCCGGAGUUAACGCAAUAAGUACCCCGCCUGGGGAGUACGACCGCAAGGUUGAAACUCAAAGGAAUUGACGGGGGCCCGCACAAG
RNAcentral lists this ribosomal RNA (598 nucleotides) under uncultured bacterium. Its description in RNAcentral is "bacterial SSU rRNA". It matches the Rfam family "Bacterial small subunit ribosomal RNA", at positions 340 to 929 of the family's 1533-position model. The record is from RNAcentral.